AGUGGGGAAUUUUGGACAAUGGGCGCAAGCCUGAUCCAGCAAUGCCGCGUGAGUGAAGAAGGCCUUCGGGUUGUAAAGCUCUUUUGUCAGGGAAGAAACGGCUGAGGAUAAUACCUUCGGCUAAUGACGGUACCUGAAGAAUAAGCACCGGCUAACUACGUGCCAGCAGCCGCGGUAAUACGUAGGGUGCAAGCGUUAAUCGGAAUUACUGGGCGUAAAGCGUGCGCAGGCGGUUUUGUAAGUCUGACGUGAAAGCCCCGGGCUCAACCUGGGAAUUGCGUUGGAGACUGCAAGGCUUGAAUCUGGCAGAGGGGGGUAGAAUUCCACGUGUAGCAGUGAAAUGCGUAGAGAUGUGGAGGAACACCGAUGGCGAAGGCAGCCCCCUGGGUCAAGAUUGACGCUCAUGCACGAAAGCGUGGGGAGCAAA
This 427-nucleotide ribosomal RNA is filed under the name uncultured Massilia sp. RNAcentral describes it as "bacterial SSU rRNA". It matches the Rfam family "Bacterial small subunit ribosomal RNA", at positions 353 to 772 of the family's 1533-position model. Lineage: Bacteria; Pseudomonadati; Pseudomonadota; Betaproteobacteria; Burkholderiales; Oxalobacteraceae. The record is from RNAcentral.